This is a long non-coding RNA of Lates calcarifer (barramundi perch), 885 nucleotides long. RefSeq lists it as uncharacterized. The record is from RefSeq and is a predicted model, not a curated record. The transcript has 4 exons. NCBI's taxonomy places the organism in Eukaryota, Metazoa, Chordata, Actinopteri, Centropomidae.
GACGCAGGUGAUGUUGGCGUGAAAUCGCCGCCAUGUUGUCGCCAAACAGAGAAGAAACUCUGCGCUGAGGCGUUAAGAAAGUUCUGUCAACAUUAAUUAUCACCGUAGCAACAAGCACACCGGGACAUACCGGGACAUGGAUAUGAACCCGUUCACCUCCAGCAAGGACAGACAACUGAGCUUCAUCAUCAAAUAACAGCAGCGAUGAUUGCAAAGUACUGAAUCACCCUUUUGGUGUUGACGGUUUUUCCUGCACCGGACUCACCACUGACAGGAAGAAACAACACACACAGGUGGAUUUCACUAAGAAGCUCAAUGAGCGAACAGCUGCUGCUACAGCCUGCGACGAUGAACAGCUGGACGUUAUCGAUCCAAUCGGAAGGUAUUUCUUCCUCUGGAGCUGUAGAGUCUGAUCUGUGAUGACAAGUCUCCUGCUGCUCCUACAACUCCACUCAACACCUGCUGCUAGAAUUAGAAAUUACUUACACUGCUAUUAGUUGUAUUGUUAGCAGUUAAUACUUUAAUUAUCACUACUAUCAUUACUACUGCUGUAUUACUGGCCUCACCUUACAUCUGAUAUGGAACCUGUGUUAUGCUAUGUUCUUCUUUCGCUAUUCUCUACCCCCUCUCCCCCCUCUCCCCCUCUCUCUCUCCUUCUUAACCCAACCGGUCGAGGCAGAUGGUUCUGCUCGAGGUUUCUGCCUCUUAAAAGGAAGUUUUUCCUUGCCACUGUCGCCUAGUGCUGCUCAUGGUGGGAUUUGUUGGGUCUCUCUCUGUAAAUACCUAUUUUACGGAGUACGGUCUAGACCUGCUCUAUAUGAAAAGUGCCUUGAGAUGACUUUUGUUGUGAUAUGGCGGUAUAUAAAUAAAACUGAAUUGAAUUGA